UCAAAGAUUAAGCCAUGCAAGUGAAAGUAUAUAUAUAUUUUAUAUGUAGAAACUGCGAACGGCUCAUUAAAACAGUUAUAGUCUACUUGAUAUUUUUAUUAUAAGGAUAACUACGGAAAAGCUGUAGCUAAUACUUGCUUUAUUAUCCUUUGAUUUUUAUCUUUGGAUAAGUAUUUGUUAGGCCUUAUAAGAAAAAAGUUAUUAACUUAAGGAAUUAUAACAAAGAAGUAACACGUAAUAAAUUUAUUUUAUUUAGUGUGUAUCAAUCGAGUUUCUGACCUAUCAGCUUUUGAUGUUAGGGUAUUGGCCUAACAUGGCUAUGACGGGUAACGGGGAAUUAGAGUUCGAUUCCGGAGAGGGAGCCUGAGAAAUAGCUACCACAUCUAAGGAAGGCAGCAGGCGCGUAAAUUACCCAAUUCUAAAGAAGAGAGGUAGUGACAAGAAAUAACAAUGCAAGGCCAAUUUUUGGUUUUGUAAUUGGAAUGGUGGGAAUUUAAAACCUUCCCAGAGUAACAAUUGGAGGGCAAGUCUGGUGCCAGCAGCCGCGGUAAUUCCAGCUCCAAUAGCGUAUAUUAAAAUUGUUGCAGUUAAAACGCUCGUAGUUGAAUUUCAAAGAAUCGAUAUUUUAUUGUAACUAUUCUAGGGGAACUAUUUUAGCUUUUCGCUUUAAUACGCUUCCUCUAUUAUUAUGUUCUUUAAAUAACAAAGAUUCUUUUUAAAAUCCCCACUUUUGCUUUUGCUUUUUGGGGAUUUUGUUACUUUGAGUAAAUUAGAGUGUUCAAAGCAAACAGUUAAAGCAUUUACUGUGUUUGAAUACUAUAGCAUGGAAUAACAAAAUUGAACAAGCUAAAAUUUUUUGUUCUUUUUUCUUAUUUUGGCUUAGUUACGAUUAAUAGGAGUAGCUUGGGGACAUUCGUAUUCAGAUGUCAGAGGUGAAAUUCUUAGAUUUUCUGGAGACGAACAACUGCGAAAGCAUUUGUCUAAAAUACUUCCAUUAAUCAAGAACGAAAGUUAAGGGAGUGAAGACGAUCAGAUACCGUCGUAAUCUUAACCAUAAACUAUGCCGACUAGGUGUUGGAUGAAAGUGUUAAAAAUAAAAGUCAUCUUUCGAGGUGACUUUUAGAUUGCUUCCUUCAGUACCUUAUGAGAAAUCAAAGUCUUUGGGUUCUGGGGCGAGUAUUCGCGCAAGCGAGAAAGUUAAAAGAAUUGACGGAAGGGCACCACCAGGCGUGGAGCUUGCGGCUUAAUUUGACUCAACACGGGGAAACUCACUAGUUUAAGACAAGAGUAGGAUUGACAGAUUAAUAGCUCUUUCUUGAUUUCUUGGAUGGUGAUGCAUGGCCGUUUUUAGUUCGUGAAUAUGAUUUGUCUGGUUAAUUCCGAUAACGAACGAGAUCUUAACCUGCUAAUUAGCGGCGAGUACACUAUAUUCUUAUUUGAAAUUGAACAUAGGUAACUAUACAUUUAUUCAGUAAUCAAAUUAGGAUAUUUUUAUUAAAAUAUCCUUUUCCCUGUUCUACUAAUAAUUUGUUUUUUACUCUAUUUCUCUCUUCUUUUAAGAAUGUACUUGCUUGAUUGAAAAGCUUCUUAGAGGAACAUUGUGUGUCUAACACAAGGAAGUUUAAGGCAACAACAGGUCUGUGAUGUCCUUAGAUGAACUAGGCUGCACGCGUGCUACACUGAUAUAUAUAACGA
RNAcentral lists this ribosomal RNA (1695 nucleotides) under Plasmodium falciparum (malaria parasite P. falciparum). RNAcentral's name for it is "SSU rRNA". It matches the Rfam family "Eukaryotic small subunit ribosomal RNA", at positions 37 to 1518 of the family's 1831-position model. Lineage: Eukaryota; Apicomplexa; Aconoidasida; Haemosporida; Plasmodiidae. The record is from RNAcentral.